This 1346-nucleotide ribosomal RNA is filed under the name uncultured bacterium. RNAcentral describes it as "partial 16S ribosomal RNA". It matches the Rfam family "Bacterial small subunit ribosomal RNA", at positions 28 to 1381 of the family's 1533-position model. The record is from RNAcentral.
GACGAACGCUGGCGGCGUGCUUAACACAUGCAAGUCGAACGGAAAGGCCCUGCUUUUGUGGGGUGCUCGAGUGGCGAACGGGUGAGUAACACGUGAGUAACCUGCCCUUGACUUUGGGAUAACUUCAGGAAACUGGGGCUAAUACCGGAUAGGAGCUCCUGCUGCAUGGUGGGGGUUGGAAAGUUUCGGCGGUUGGGGAUGGACUCGCGGCUUAUCAGCUUGUUGGUGGGGUAGUGGCUUACCAAGGCUUUGACGGGUAGCCGGCCUGAGAGGGUGACCGGCCACAUUGGGACUGAGAUACGGCCCAGACUCCUACGGGAGGCAGCAGUGGGGAAUAUUGCACAAUGGGCGGAAGCCUGAUGCAGCAACGCCGCGUGCGGGAUGACGGCCUUCGGGUUGUAAACCGCUUUCGCCUGUGACGAAGCGUGAGUGACGGUAAUGGGUAAAGAAGCACCGGCUAACUACGUGCCAGCAGCCGCGGUGAUACGUAGGGUGCGAGCGUUGUCCGGAUUUAUUGGGCGUAAAGGGCUCGUAGGUGGUUGAUCGCGUCGGAAGUGUAAUCUUGGGGCUUAACCCUGAGCGUGCUUUCGAUACGGGUUGACUUGAGGAAGGUAGGGGAGAAUGGAAUUCCUGGUGGAGCGGUGGAAUGCGCAGACAUCAGGAGGAACACCAGUGGCGAAGGCGGUUCUCUGGGCCUUUCCUGACGCUGAGGAGCGAAAGCGUGGGGAGCGAACAGGCUUAGAUACCCUGGUAGUCCGCGCUGUAAACGGUGGGUACUAGGUGUGGGGUCCAUUCCACGGGUUCCGUGCCGUAGCUAACGCUUUAAGUACCCCGCCUGGGGAGUACGGCCGCAAGGCUAGAACUCAAAGGAAUUGACGGGGCCCCGCACAAGCGGCGGAGCAUGCGGAUUAAUUCGAUGCAACGCGUAGAACCUUACCUGGGUUUGACAUGGAUCGGGAGUGCUCAGAGAUGGGUGUGCCUCUUUUGGGGUCGGUUCACAGGUGGUGCAUGGCUGUCGUCAGCUCGUGUCGUGAGAUGUUGGGUUAAGUCCCGCAACGAGCGCAACCCUUGUUCACUGUUGCCAGCACGUUAUGGUGGGGACUCAGUGGAGACCGCCGGGGUCAACUCGGAGGAAGGUGGGGAUGACGUCAAGUCAUCAUGCCCCUUAUGUCCAGGGCUUCACGCAUGCUACAAUGGCUGGUACAGAGAGUGGCGAGCCUGUGAGGGUGAGCGAAUCUCGGAAAGCCGGUCUCAGUUCGGAUUGGGGUCUGCAACUCGACCUCAUGAAGUCGGAGUCGCUAGUAAUCGCAGAUCAGCAACGCUGCGGUGAAUACGUUCCCGGGGCU